UAACAGCCAUAUUAAUUUCAGCCC
This 24-nucleotide non-coding RNA is filed under the name Rattus norvegicus (Norway rat). Lineage: Eukaryota; Metazoa; Chordata; Mammalia; Rodentia; Muridae. The record is from RNAcentral.